AGAUGAGGUGCUUGCACCUUAUCUUANNNGCGGACGGGUGAGUAAUGCUUAGGAAUCUGCCAUUUAGUGGGGGACAACAUUCCGAAAGGAAUGCUAAUACCGCAUACGUCCUACGGGAGAAAGCAGGGGAUCUUCGGACCUUGCGCUAAAUGAUGAGCCUAAGUCGGAUUAGCUAGUUGGUGGGGUAAAGGCCUACCAAGGCGACGAUCUGUAGCGGGUCUGAGAGGAUGAUCCGCCACACUGGGACUGAGACACGGCCCAGACUCCUACGGGAGGCAGCAGUGGGGAAUAUUGGACAAUGGGCGGAAGCCUGAUCCAGCCAUGCCGCGUGUGUGAAGAAGGCCUUUUGGUUGUAAAGCACUUUAAGCGAGGAGGAGGCUACUAGUACUAAUACUACUGGAUAGUGGACGUUACUCGCAGAAUAAGCACCGGCUAACUCUGUGCCAGCAGCCGCGGUAAUACAGAGGGUGCGAGCGUUAAUCGGAUUUACUGGGCGUAAAGCGUGCGUAGGCGGCUUUUUAAGUCGGAUGUGAAAUCCCCGAGCUUAACUUGGGAAUUGCAUUCGAUACUGGGAAGCUAGAGUAUGGGAGAGGAUGGUAGAAUUCCAGGUGUAGCGGUGAAAUGCGUAGAGAUCUGGAGGAAUACCGAUGGCGAAGGCAGCCAUCUGGCCUAAUACUGACGCUGAGGUACGAAAGCAUGGGGAGCAAACAGGAUUAGAUACCCUGGUAGUCCAUGCCGUAAACGAUGUCUACUAGCCNUUGGGGCCUUUGAGGCUUUAGUGGCGCAGCUAACGCG
This 795-nucleotide ribosomal RNA is filed under the name uncultured bacterium. RNAcentral describes it as "bacterial SSU rRNA". It matches the Rfam family "Bacterial small subunit ribosomal RNA", at positions 69 to 859 of the family's 1533-position model. The record is from RNAcentral.